GCCUGGUUAGCUUAGUUGGUAGUGCGUCUGCCUUGUAAGCGCUAGGCCGCGGGUUCGAUUCCCACCCGGGGCG
RNAcentral lists this transfer RNA (73 nucleotides) under Diaphorina citri (Asian citrus psyllid). It matches the Rfam family "tRNA". Rfam says of the family: Transfer RNA (tRNA) molecules are approximately 80 nucleotides in length. Their secondary structure includes four short double-helical elements and three loops (D, anti-codon, and T loops). The record is from Rfam by way of RNAcentral. Lineage: Eukaryota; Metazoa; Arthropoda; Insecta; Hemiptera; Psyllidae.